Long non-coding RNA from Hippopotamus amphibius kiboko, 4985 nucleotides. RefSeq lists it as uncharacterized. NCBI's taxonomy places the organism in Eukaryota, Metazoa, Chordata, Mammalia, Artiodactyla, Hippopotamidae. The transcript is spliced from 3 exons. The record is from RefSeq and is a predicted model, not a curated record.
UCCAGGGAGAACUUCCUGGGGAAGCAGACCGCAGGCCCCAUCAGUGCCGCGUGCGGGUGGAGGGCAAAGGGGGGCUGCCACGUCCAAGCUCUGUGCCAGGCGCUGUGCCCACCUGGCUUCCCUCCUCAGGCCUCACCGCCAGCUCAGUAAUCUGAUCCCUGUGCCACAGGCAGGCCUGGCCCAGGGUCACCCGCUACUGUGACGACAGGUAAUGCAGGGAUGACCGUGUCAGCCAACCCCUCCCCGACCCGCCUAAAGGUCUGGGCCAGAUGGGAAGAAGCAGGCAGCCUUCAGAACCGCCGAUCGUGCCCCGGCCGGGCACCAGGGGAAACAGGCCAGCGUCAGUGCUGCCGAGGCAUGUUUAUUCACCAGCCCUCAGCGUGCGUCCCACCAGACCUGGGUCACCCCAGGAGGGAGGCCCUGCGGAGACCCCCAACACACGCAGCACGGGACACCCCUUUUCUCCUCCAGCCUGGGAACUGCUGAGCAAGCGAAGCCCACCCAGCCCGCAGGGCCCCACACUCUGGAAGGAAGUAACCAUUUGGUACCUAAUGUUGGAGCAGGUGGCCUCUGGCCUCUGGGAGCCCCACACCCUCCUGGGCCCGCCCGCCCCGGGCCCUCUCCCUCUCCUGCUGCGGGGCUCCCGCAGCCCGGCCUGCGCCUAGCGCCCCCACAGCCGUCCGUGGCUGCCCCCUCUGCCCACUUCAGCGGCUGCUGCCCCCUGGCUGGGCCUCCUGGGCCUCCAUUUCCCCACUGCCGCCCAACUCAUCUUCCACUCCCCAGCCUCUGCCCUUCUCCCUUGGAAUAAUCGCCCACCGCGCCCCAGACCCUCUCACUUCCCUGGCAUCCACUCACCCCUUCAAUGCCCUCAUCCUGGGGGCCUUCUGCCACUCGGAGCCCACCCGACAGUCCACAGACCGGAGGGGACUCCAGCACUCCGGCCGCCGUGCUGCCCAGUCUCCGCUGCCGCCUCCUGAGAGGGUCCUGACAGCUGUGUGCCCCCCACAGCCUCCUGCCCGCCCUGCCUUCCCCUUUGAGGACAUCCGAGGUCCUGGAGCAGCAGGUCCCUCCCUCCUCUGCCCUUCCCUGCUUGAUUCCAGAUUUGGGGCUUAGGAGAGCUGCAGAUCCCUUGUCAUGGGCCCUAAAUCCCUCCAUCUGCCUCUUCAGGCCCCAGUGUCAGCCACCUGCCCCCCCACACCGACUGACCUCAGGCCUCUCCCUCCCUCCACACCCCUGUCCCCUCUCUCCGGCGCCUCCUCACCCUGCACACCGGAACGGUCCCCGCUGCCCAGGCCUGGUGGGUAGGGCCCUCUCACUAGGUCUGUCCUCCCACACGCUCUCACUUCUGGUCCUUCUACAGCCAGUAAGUCUCCUCCCAGCAUCCCUGGAUGCUGCCCUGCUGCACUGUCUGAGGAGAUCUACCCCGUGGCUCCAACUACGAAUUCACCGAGAGCACAGUGGAAAUAACGGCCUCCGGUCUGACCCCUCACCUGAGCUCCAGAUCUGUGAGCCCAGUUACCCGGUGGUCACCUCCACCCGGGCAUCCUGCCAGCAUCUCCCACUCGGCACGUCCGUGACAAAAAUGAGCUCAGCCUCUCUGCGUCCCCACCAAGCCCUGCUGCCCUCACUCCUGCAUCCCCACCCCAUCCCUGGUGCCAGGAUUAAAGAACAUUUACUGCUCCUCCUGCCGGGCUCCUCAGCUCAAGGCAAUUAGUGAAGUUGAUUCAUCAGAAGUCAAUGUGCCAAAAACGACCAGUUCGCUUAAUGUGCUUGUUUUGCUUCAGCUAUUUAGAGGCAGUCAGUCAAUUAUAUCUUUAUCCUCAGAACCACAUUUUAAGGAAUGUUCAGUUCACCUAUGCCCUGCUCCCAACUAGUUGCAGCUUGAGACAGGAGCAGAGAGAGGGGAGCCUGAGGGGCACAGGAGGGGUACAGAGGAAGGUAUAUUAAAUAAGAAAACAGGGUAAGAAAAGAGGCUUCUUGGAGAUGAAGAAAAUAUCCAUAAGACAUCUUCAUAUUUAGGGAUCUAUUCCUCUUAGCCCUUAGCCCCUCCUCUCUAGCAACAGCAGCAUGGAGCAGGGAUAGAGAGAGAAUGAACAUCUUUUUAAAUGCAAUUUUGAUAACAAAAUGAAAACCAGUCAAUGAGAGCUGAACAGUUAUGAGAAGCAUUUAAAACUUGUGAACGGGCUUUUGGCGAGUUGGCCAAGCGCUUCCAACUCCCCUGCAGCUCUGACCACAGCUUGAAAACUACCACAACAACCAUUUCCCUCCUGCAGCUAGUGAUCUUUCUAGAACACAGAUCUGAUCAUGUCUGUCCCUUGCUCAAAGCUUUGGUGCUCCCGGUAUGCAGCCGAGCAGGAACUGCAGGGGGCAGCCUGCAGGUGAUCUGGCCGCCUCGCAUCUGGCUCCAGGUAUUCGUGUGCAAGGAGCAGGACCAGAUCUUUCGCCAAGGUGCUCCCAGUGGCGCUCCAUUGACUCCUGGGUGCUGCCCAGGGUGGGGCGGGGGAGACAGAUCCCAGGGUGAGGCUCUUGGAAGGCCCGCCUAUAGGAAUGAGUUUGUGGCCUGGCCCCAUUGUACCUGCUCCAGCCACAGGACAAGUUACCCCUUCCAAGUAUACCAUGCAUUUUAACCACUCCAACCUUUGCUUCUGCUUUUCUCUUUGCCUAAAUUCCCUUCUUCCACCCUUUCCACCUGGGAAACUCCUAUUCAUCCUUAAAGGCCCAGAUUAAAUAGAUUCUCCCAGUCAUUUCCCCUCCCCAUCCUGUAAACAAAGCAAAUCCUCCUUUCUCUGUGUCCCCACAGUCCUUUGCAUUAUCUUCAGAGCUCAUUCAUCAGACAGAUAUUUACUGAGCACCUACUGUAUGCCUAGCGCUGUUCUAGGUGCUGGGGCUAGGGCAUGGCCUAGACAAAGUCCCUACUUUCAGGGCCGGAUCCAUUUGCUCUUUUCCACAUCUUAGCACUGUAUCUGGUGCUCUGUAUGACCCUGCAGGAAUAAAGAAAGGGAUGGGCCAUGGAGAAGGCGGGUCAGGGCCAACCUCCAUGAAGCUCGAAUCAGACCAGGGACCUGGGCGUCAUGCACUGUAGAGGCUGCAGUCUCUAAGGCUCUGGGAGGCAGGACAGCCUCUCCACUCUUUCUGCAGCGACCCCACAGCACCAGCUUCCACAGAGUACGCGGUCAUACGGCCAUGAGGCCAGGCUCUUCUGGGGUUCAGGAGGGAGGGGCUAUGGGCUGCUCCCACCCCUGGCAAUAAAGAGGCUCUAGCUGCUCUCUGGACCCUCUGAUCCCAGGGGGAGGCUGUUUAGCAAACCAGACACAGAGAGUCUUGGGCCCUGCAUCCUCUUCUUGACCCCUCCACUGUGAGGCUAGACCUCUCUGGGCCUCGGCUUCCUCAUCCAAAAAUCGAGGCUAGGUUGGCCACAGAGUGAGGAUUUGUGAGACAUCCAACAACAGAUGGAACUUGCUGACCUUCCGACCCAGAUAAAGUAACCAGAGAUGAAGAUGGCAAGGGGGGAGGUGGGUGAGGAAGGUGGUGCUGACAGCAGGGGUGGAUGGGGUCUCACCUCUCCAGGCCCCCAUCCUCCAGGUCUCGGGACUCUGAAUUGGUCCAGGUAGAAAACUUCUCUAGGAUAUAGGCAGCCAGUCCCACGGGAGAGUCAUUCAGAGCACAGCCUGGCAUGGGAAGAAGCAAGGGAAUGACUCAGGCCUGGGCAGGGAGCUGGCCAGCAGGACAGAGGGGGUGCUGGCCCCACAGAGCGACACCACAGGCAGGAAGCCCGUGUCAGAGCACAGCUCUGCCCUAACUCUCGGGGCGCUCCUGCCCCUCGCUUCCUUGACCCUUGACCUUGGAAUCCUUAUCUGACAAAAGGGGUAACACCUCCCCUACUACCUCAUAGGGAUCCACACUCUAUACGGACAGCUUCCUUCAAGCCGAACAGGCUACAACUCUGGGUUUUGUGGGAUCCAAAUGAGAAAUACAUAUGAAUGCUCUUUUAAAAAAGUGGGGGUUUUUUGGUUUCUAUUCUAUGAGUAGUGAAAAAUGAGAAACAACCUAAAAGUCCAAAAUAUAGGGAAUGAGUUACAAAUACAUAUUGAUCUACCCAUAAGCUCAAAGCCUGAGCAAGCAUUAAAAAUGCCAUGGAUGGAUCUCACAAGCAAAAUACUGAGCAAAAGAAGCCAGAUGCAAAAGAGCACCUAUUCGAGGAUUCCAAUGCAUAUAAAGUAUAAAAACAGGCAAAAGCAAUCUAUCUGUCAGAGGUCAGGAGGGUGGCUGCCCUGGGUGUGGGGGGUAGUGCCCGGAAGAGGGCCCGGGGGGCUUCUGGGCUGGUGGGGUAUGCUCUGCUUCUUGAGUGAGUGCUGGUUAUAGGGACAGAUUCCAUUUGUGAAAAUUCAUCCACCAAAAUGUUAGUCAGUUCUUCCGAAGGCCUUGGAGAGGAGACGUAGCGAAGGACAAGAGGUUACAGGUGAUUGUCUUGUGUUUUAUGUUUUGCAUUUUUCAGUUUUUUCACAAUGAACAUGGAUUACUUGUAUAAUCAGAGGAAAACAACUGGUUUUAUAAAACACUGUUAUUAUUGUCAUGAGCUGACUAAUGUGGCAUGGGACUGCCACAGAAACUCUAGACUUGGAAAUGGGCAAAACAGCUCCUGGGUGUCCUCUGAAUGGGGUUCAGGGAUUUUCUAGUGGACCCUUCUGGGGUCAUAUGAUUGUUAAGGGCGACUCUCUUCUCUUGUCUUAGAGCUACUUUGCAGCUCUGUACAUUGUUGGAAACUGAUAGUAAUACAAAUGAUUCUUGUUCACAGAGAAGCAAAUGAAUUUUGUCCAGAGACUAGAUCCUAAAAGUUCUCAUCAUGAGACCCCUCCCUCCUCAGCCUCCUCAGGCUCUGAAGGAAGCUGUUCCAGCUGACUCGCCAGCCCUAGAGCAGCGACUCGGCUUGCAGCAGCCAUGUACCCUUCUUGGAGGAUGCCUCUGAGAAGCCGUAGCCAGGGAUG